UUAAAUUAUGUUCUAUGAAAAGUAGAUUUUAUCUUCUACGAAAAUGAGUUAAUAGAAAUUGAAUUCCAUAUUAAACAAGUUUAUCUACUUGUUUUAGAACGUACAAUCUACUUUUAAUUAAAUUUCUAAAUACGAAGAUUGCGAAUUCUACCAGUUGUAAAGAUAGCUACAUUUUUUUUUUGUGAAAGCAUUUCCUACUUUUAUGAGAUAUUCUAAAAUUUCAAGAAUGUAAAAUCUAG
RNAcentral lists this long non-coding RNA (239 nucleotides) under Brassica rapa (field mustard). Its description in RNAcentral is "long non-coding RNA (BRAP_LNC001067)". Lineage: Eukaryota; Viridiplantae; Streptophyta; Magnoliopsida; Brassicales; Brassicaceae. The record is from RNAcentral.